This is an RNA transcript of Marmota monax (woodchuck), 5055 nucleotides long. It is a transcript of the gene named CD47 molecule, with no coding region annotated. The record is from RefSeq and is a predicted model, not a curated record. Lineage: Eukaryota; Metazoa; Chordata; Mammalia; Rodentia; Sciuridae. The transcript has 12 exons.
AGCGUGCGCGCGGCCAGGAAGCUUGGGCGGCGGGUCCUGCCUGUGACUGCUGUGGAGGCUGCUGGUCCUGCCUGAAACGGCCGCGGAGGCGGCGGCUGUUCCAGACACCUGCGGCGGCGGCGACCCCCCGGCGGCGCGGAGAUGUGGCCCUUGGUGGCAGCGCUGUUGCUGGGUUCGUUUUGCAGCGGUUCAGCCCAGCUACUAUUUAAUAAAACCAAAUCAGUAGAAUUCACCUUUUGCAAUGAAACUGUUGUCAUCCCAUGUUUUGUUAUUAAUGUGGGGGCACAAAACACUAACGAAAUGUAUGUGAAGUGGAAAUUUAAAGGAAAAUACAUUUUCAUCUAUGAUGGAGGCCAAGACAACGCUACUAUGGACAGUAACUUUUCAAGUGCAAAAAUCGCAGUCUCAGAAUUACUUAAAGGAGAUGCUUCUUUGAAGAUGGAUAAGCGUGAUGCGAAAGUAGGAAACUACACAUGUGAAGUAACAGAAUUAACCAGAGAAGGUGAAACCGUUAUAGAACUCAAAUAUCGUGUUGUGUCAUGGUUUUCUCCAAAUGAAAAUAUUCUCGUCGUUAUUUUCCCAAUUUUGGCUAUACUUCUCUUCUGGGGACAAUUUGGCAUUUUAACACUUAAAUAUAAAUCCAACUGUACAAAUAAGAAAAUCAUCCUUUUACUUAUCGCUGGACUACUGCUCACUACAAUUGUCAUUGUUGGAGCCAUUCUCUUUGUCCCAGGAGAAUAUUCAGUAAAGAAUGCUUCAGGACUUGGUUUCAUCGUAAUUUCUACAGGGGUAUUAAUAUUACUUCAGUACAAUGUGUUUAUGACAGCUUUUGGGAUGACCUCCUUUACCAUUGCCAUAUUGAUCACUCAGGUGUUGGGCUAUGUGCUCGCUGUGGUUGGACUAUGUCUCUGUAUCAUGGCGUGUAUACCAGUGCAUGGCCCUCUUCUGAUUUCAGGUUUGGGUAUCAUAGCUCUAGCAGAAUUACUUGGACUAGUUUAUAUGAAAUUUGUGGAGUGCAGAGAGAGACCUUCGGUCAGUUGAAAGGCAAGAAGAGAAAAGCUUCUAAUCAGAGGACUAUACAAGCUCCUAGGAAAGCUGUAGAGGAACCACUUAAUGCGUUUAAAGAAUCAAAAGGAAUGAUGAAUGAUGAGUAACUGAAGUGAAGUGAAGGACUCUGGUUUGGAGAGUCAUGGAACCUGAAGGAGUACACUUGUAUUUAAAGACCCCGGCCUUGAUGAUUCACUCUUGGGAAGAAGAAAAAAAAAAAAAAAGAAAAGUAACUGGUACUCGUCUGUAAGAGAAAAUAAGUCAUUGACCCGUAAAUGAUUAUCACAGUUUUUAUUCAAAACAACUGUAAUUUAGUUAAUAAAAGAUUUAUGAUCUGUGUCGUGUGCCCGGUUGAGAUCCAAUUUUCUGUUAUUUCUAUUUAAUUGGGGACAAAAGUAGAGGGAGCAACUUCCAAGGAUGAUACUUUCCAUAUCCUCGGGCCUCUGGACUCUGGGUUUAAAUUGGUUCAGGGUGAGAAUGACCUAACACUAACCUGAUGGUCACCCAGAAACAUCUGUGAAAAUCAGUGGCUUCCAUCCAAGCUUAGUAAACUCAGGUUCCCAGCAUCCAUGGCAGUUAGGCUGUUAGCUGAAUAAGGUGUCUGCCACUUCUGGGUCGGGAAUAGUGACUUAAGUGGAGACAGGAAUUUGGUUGGGAACAUCAUGUAUGCCACUUACCUGUGCUAUGACGUCACUGGAUAUAGGGGUCUUCAUUCUUGGGGGUUGCCAUUCGCAGAGUGUCCCUUCAGCCUACAGUGUGACAGAUACUUCCCAGAUAUGGGUUGCUUUUAUUGACGGGUGUGUUUUUCUUUAAUUUACACAACCCUUGGGACCCUUCCUUGCCCUCCUCUGACUCGCUUCUGCUGUACCCGAUGUAGCACCUUUUCUCCUCUCUGAACAUGGUCCAGUGACGCAGUAGCAUCAGUUGCAGAAAGGAGCCAGACUUGUUUUCAGAGCACUGUGUUCACACUUUUCGGCAAAAAUAGCUAUGGUUGUAACAUAUGUAUUCCCUUCCUCUGGUUUGAAGGCAAAACUCUACGGUGUUUCUUCACUUAUUUUCUGAUUGGAGGCAUGACAAAAGCAAGACUGAAAUCUGAACUGUGAGUCUCCUGCAUGGCAACCUUCUGUGUGUCUCCAUCAGGCCGUGGGCCAGCCCUCGAGGGGGGCGCUCCUCCUGUUGUGUCUCUGUUGCAUGAUAACCACUCAUCUGCUUCCUCCUGUAGUCCUGCCUCCUGCUCCCCCUCCCCUGAGAUUGAAAAGUAAAACAGAACCACAUUUCCUACCCCAGUUAGAAGAAAAAAAUAACGUUCUGACAGUGUGAUCGCCUGGAGUACUUUUAGAUUCUUAGCACUCGUUUUUUACCUGGUUUGUGGAUGUGUGUUUGUAUGUGCACAUGUAUAAGGUAGGCUCCUGCUGCUUCUGUAGGGACAGAAGUGCUGUACCUACAGGAGAGCCAGUGCUGACUUUGUGCUUUUAAUAAAAACAUUUAAAAACAAAAGGUCCUUAUCAGGUGGAAUUAUAUUUGAUGCAAAUAUUUGAUCACUUAAAACUUUAAAAACUUCUAGGUAAUUCGCCAAGCUUUUUGACUGCUCACCAAUGCCCUCUAAAAAUACUAGUGAUUCUUCCUGUUUGUGUAAUGAGACUUUCAUAUUCGUAGUGCCAUCACUGAUAGUUAUUUCUUAGUCUCCUGGAUGUUUCCAUGUGCCUCUUUUAUGCCAAAUUUAUUGUCAUAUUUCACGUUGGGACCAAGUGGUUUGCCCAUGGCAGACCUAAACUUAUAACCUGCUGAGGCCCCUCAGAAAAUUGAACAUACUAUCAAAACAGUUCUUCCCUGAUUGAGUAGCUGUCCAAAAUAUUAGUCUAUGGAGAGGGAGCUGUAUUUCUUUAUACAAAUCUAAUGGCUCCUGCUGCUCUUCUCCUGAAAAUAUUUGCACUUUGCUAAUAUCGUUUGUUACUUUAGAAAUUAGUUUUGAUGAAAAGAGCAAAAAAAGCAGAUGGACUUGAAAAAGAUCCAAAUUCUUAUUCUCCAUUAAGAAAAUCAGGUAUGAAAAUCUUUAUAGUAAAAUUUUUUAAUGAACUAAAGUUGUACCUUUUAAUAUGUUGUAAACUCUCCUUUAUUUGGGGUUCAGUCUCAAGUCUGACCAUCUGUUGUGUUCUCUUUGAUGCUACCUGCCUUUUGAGGUGUUCACUGCCCCAGACAAUGCCACUCGAGGUAGCAGGGGAAAUGCCAGACGCAAUCAACUCUUGCUCUUAACCAUCCUCUUCUCCAGCUAAGGGACCACAGCAGCAGCAGUCCUUCUGCCUGGGCAUCAUUGGGACAGUUUAUUCUCUUUAAAUCAGACUUGUAAUGGCUCCCAAUUCUGUCACAUCAGAUAUAACUUGCUAACAGUGUUUUGAGCAUCAUAGAUUGUUUUGCCCCAUAAGAUGCUUUUUACUCCCUGAUCCCAAUUUUUGCCAUCAUCUUCUCCAUUCGGUUUUAUUUAUUCUACAUUCUCAAAGUGACACCAUUUGUCAUUUUCUGCAACAACCUUUUCAGCCUUUUUGGCCAAAUCACAUUUUUCUUUUCCUUCAAUACAUACUGCUCCAGCCCUUCCUCCCCCACUGGCUGUCCUUUGCAGUCUGUCCUCAUCUGUCUAGCAGCCUCUUUCAUCUCUUUCUUACCCUUCCUUAGUACUUCAUUUAUCUUGGCUUUAGUUAUGUCGGGGUUUUUUGUCUUGCUUUUCUCACUGGAUUUUAAAAUUGCUUCCAUAGCAAGAGCUUCUCUCUCUUCCUUUCUCUCUUGCUGCUGUGUGCGGUGUUCUGCGGACAUUAGAUACUCCGUACAUAAGUUUGAUGAUUGGCUGUAUUUCGAUUUCUCACUAUUUUUAAUAGGGUGAGCUAGAGACUUUUCUUUUUUGACAAAUUGCACAUGCUCGGAAAACCUUAAAGGGAAAUGAUUUUUUUUUAACCUGGAAAUUUCAGGUCCAUUCUGUUAAAAAUUCUUGAGAAUAUCAGAGUUAAUUUGGCUAUCCCAUAAUUGGGAGUAUUGCUCUUUUCAGACUUCUCUUGCCAAUUUAGUAAGUGUCCGACCGAAUUGUGAUCUAAUAAAGCUCAAAAAGUGAUAAGUUUGCUCCUUCAUCUCAUUAAUUUAAAAAAGGCUACAUCACCUUCUAGAUGUCUCUCAUCUUACAAAGGGUGUUCAAAAGUGGCGAUAGGUGGUUUAUGUCUGGAAAUACAUACCUUUAUUUACCUCUUGUUGGAAACUGGAGAAAUAAUUGUCUGGCUACUCUUUACAUUUUCUUUGUGUUUUAUUUGAUUGAGGGUUUAUUUAGAAAUAUUAGUUUUGCAUGUGUGUCUUAUAUUCAAAAUCACUAACUGCCAUCACCCACUGGGGGUCCUUUUAGUUUAAUAGGGAUAAUCCAAGUUAACUUUGAAGAGAUGAGCAGUGACCAGGAAGUUUUCCUGCCUUUAACUUUGAUAGCUCUUAAUUAUGAUCCUGUAAGACCAGCUUUUCCAUAAAUCCAGUCUUUUAAGGAAAAAAAUAAAGCAAGCCUUUGUAAUAAGCUUCUCUGUAAGACAACAGCAGUGGAAUCUUCAAAGUGUUGUUAUCAAGAUUGUUGAGAGAGGGAAACAUUUUUGUUUUUAUUAAAUGAAGCAUUAUUUGCAAAAAGCCAUUGUUAAGAAGUAGAUCCUGCAUCAUACAAAUAUCCAUUAACCAUUCUCAAUAAAGAGAACUCUGGUGUUGCUAUGUGUUAGAUGCUCUCUUGGGGGCUUUUUUGCAUAGCAAUUAAAGUUGUGCUCUUUGUCAGUAGCCAUUUUUUUGCAGUGAUUUAAAGACCAAAGUUGUUUUACAGCUGUGUUACUGUUAAAGGUUUUUUCUUUUUUUUAUAUGUAUUAAAUCAAUUUAUCACUGUUUGAAGCUUUGAAUAUCUGCAACCUUUGCCAAGGUUCUUUUUUUAUUUAAAAAAGACAUAACUUUGUAAAUAUUACCCUGUAAUAUUAUAUAUACUUAAUAAAACAUUUUAAGCUA